UCUAAAUAUGAUGCGCACAGGUGCUACAGACUACAUAACGAACUAUUGUGCUGCAAGUGAGCUUCGAACAUUUUAAUGAAAUUCUCAGGUGCCAGGUGUUGCCACAAAAUUUGACACUCCAUAAUGGCCUUCAUCUUUUUUUACUAGGUCUAUCCACUCAGCUUUGCUUCAUCAUCUGGUAUGUCAAUCAUUUUUAGUUAAGCUUAGUUGAAGUUCUGACAGUUUUCGGCUUUCCUAGGACUCGAUCAACUAGAUAUAUUUUGUUGGACACAUAUAUGUAAAGAAUACUUGUAUUCAGGAUUUCUGAAAAUUGCUCUUCAACUGGAUAAGUAUCCAUUUCUGAAACACACAAAACUGCAUCUUCAAAUAUUUAUUAAGUUAUUUAGGUCGAUGCAUCAUUCAUGUAUGCCCUAACUAUAUAGCAGUACAUAAUUAUAUAUGAAAAAUAGUUUUUUAUCUAGCAGAUUAACUCCUGUAAGUACAUAUGGAUUUACCCAGGUUCCAUUGCAUAAUUCUCUUACUCCCCCUUAACACAAGACCCCUCUUUCAAGGUGCGGUUGCAACGAAUUGGGACUUUAAACAUUCUACUUGAUUGUAGAAGAAGGAUUCCUAGCAUGUUUGGGAUCUCCUAUCAUUUUUUGUUUGUUAUAUUAUGUUCCAGAGUUACAUAUAGAGUUCAAUUUUCAUGUGUCGAGCACUGAAAUAAUUGGCAUGGGUGCUGCAACAAUUGCAUCCAGCAGCUUUCUAUCAUGCAUCUCAGUAGUGCAGGAAAUAAUGAAGGAUUUGCACCAAUUGGUCCUUUGAAAACAAACCAACCCUGUCAGAAGAUGACAACAAUCUAGAAGCCAUACCUCAGAAUGAAAACACAGAACAAAUCCAUUUUGAGUUGGGAGAGGUAAACGGUAAUAACCAUCCAAAAUUUUCAGAAAUUUACUGCUAAGAAAAAUAUCUAAUGAAUUACAGUUUUCCCCACACAAGAAUACAACCUCCACAACAGAUUGCAAAAAAAAAAAAGGAAAAAAACAAUACCAAGUGGUGCAUCAACUAAAAAAAGGUAUAUGACUAUUUAAUUCAUAUCAGUAUCACUGUUCACUACAGCGGUGCAAGCUUACUAAUCAUUAAUUUUCUGCAUAAAAGGCAUAAGAAGAAAGCCACUAAAGAAUUAUUCUCAACUACAUAAAAAGAUUCACUUCGCCAGGUAAACAUACAUGACAUCUAUCAGUAAGUAAAAGAAUAUCAGGACAUAAUUUUAGCUUUUAUUUCUUGCAGCAAUUGCCUUGAGUUUUGACUUAAUCAGGUCAAGCUCAUCUAAAUGAAAGAUAUAAAAUAUACUUAUCUCAAUGUAACACAAUCUUUACAUGGUCUGACAAAGCCCUUUUACUAAAAAAGUAAUAUGUGAUAUUAUUAGUAUGUCUGCCACUGCCAAGCAUGGCCACUUCCUACAUGGUAUAGUAUUAUGUAUCUGUGUAUGCUUAUCUUCCUUUGUUUCUCAGUGAUUACUACUACGCUAUGUUUGUACAAUCAAAUGUUACUAAGCGGAUCAGAUCCUUGCAGGCUUCCACAAAGAGAUUUCCGCACGCUUCGCUCUUAAAAGGUUGCAUGAAAGGGCUAACGCAAAAGAAAACGAAGUUGUCUCUUAACUACAAGUUGUAACACGGACGAACUGUUAAAACAAUUCGGGAAAUUAUUCUUAUUUGCUCUGCAAGUUUGUUAUGGCAUUUUUUCUUUGUACACGCACGGAUGCCAAAGGAUUAUAACAGUAAAUAAAGAUGAACGUAACUAGCGGUUCUCCAUUCCCAAAUCA
Lolium perenne is the source of this 1804-nucleotide long non-coding RNA. RefSeq lists it as uncharacterized. Lineage: Eukaryota; Viridiplantae; Streptophyta; Magnoliopsida; Poales; Poaceae. The record is from RefSeq and is a predicted model, not a curated record.